This 258-nucleotide ribosomal RNA is filed under the name uncultured bacterium. RNAcentral's name for it is "partial 16S ribosomal RNA". It matches the Rfam family "Bacterial small subunit ribosomal RNA", at positions 524 to 776 of the family's 1533-position model. The record is from RNAcentral.
UACGUAGGGGGGCUAGCGUUGUCCGGAAUCAUUGGGUGUAAAGCGCGUGUAGGCGGCCCGAUAAGUCCGCUGUGAAAGUCCAGGGCUCAACCCUGGGAUGCCGGUGGAUACUGUCGGGCUCGAGUCCGGAAGAGGCGAGUGGAAUUCCUGGUGUAGCGGUGAAAUGCGCAGAUAUCAGGAGGAACACCAAUGGCGAAGGCAGCUCGCUGGGGACGGUACUGACGCUGAGGCGCGAAAAGCGUGGGGGAGCAAAACAGG